AGUUUGAGAAACUGGGGGCAUGUACCAUACUGUUCCAUAACGUGAGAUGAGGUGGCAUCAGCUCACAAGGCCAAACAAAUGUGACUAUAAAUUACUUC
Long non-coding RNA from Gavialis gangeticus (Gharial), 98 nucleotides. RefSeq lists it as uncharacterized. The transcript is spliced from 3 exons. The record is from RefSeq and is a predicted model, not a curated record. Lineage: Eukaryota; Metazoa; Chordata; Crocodylia; Gavialidae.